This 281-nucleotide ribosomal RNA is filed under the name Massilia sp. 01WB02.1-38. RNAcentral's name for it is "partial 16S ribosomal RNA". It matches the Rfam family "Bacterial small subunit ribosomal RNA", at positions 211 to 484 of the family's 1533-position model. Lineage: Bacteria; Pseudomonadati; Pseudomonadota; Betaproteobacteria; Burkholderiales; Oxalobacteraceae. The record is from RNAcentral.
CCUUGUGCUCCUGGAGCGGCCGAUAUCUGAUUAGCUAGUUGGUGGGGUAAAGGCCCACCAAGGCAUCGAUCAGUAGCUGGUCUGAGAGGACGACCAGCCACACUGGAACUGAGACACGGUCCAGACUCCUACGGGAGGCAGCAGUGGGGAAUUUUGGACAAUGGGCGCAAGCCUGAUCCAGCAAUGCCGCGUGAGUGAAGAAGGCCUUCGGGUUGUAAAGCUCUUUUGUCAGGGAAGAAACGGUGGAGGCUAAUAUCCUUCGCUAAUGACGGUACCUGAAG